Molecule: long non-coding RNA, 495 nt
Filed under: Drosophila guanche
Lineage: Eukaryota; Metazoa; Arthropoda; Insecta; Diptera; Drosophilidae
Source: RNAcentral
GGAUCUUCGGGAAAAGAUAUCGGAUUGCCUCUUGAAACCGUUCUUCGAGAGGCAUCGCUGACAAAGAUGAGAUCUCACAGUCUAUCCCUAUUAUUUCUGACAGAGUUAAUUUUGGGCAAGCGAGACGUCAGUUACCCCCUCGACGAAAUCAUGUUGACUUCCAGGUGGCAACAUGUUUAAAUCAUCCUGUUGCCAAUAUAGAGAUGGGAUUUUGAAGUCACCCAUGACUAGUCUCUGAUCAGCACAGCCUAAAGCAGAAACUACAGAUCGAAUUGCAGAACGGUGGUUCAAAUAAACAACGGCAUCAGAUCUGGGUGGGAUAUAAGAACAGGUCAAAAAGAUAAAUGCUGUUCCAAUACGGAUUUUGACUGCAACUAAUUCAAUACCAUGGAUGUUGUUGAAUAAAAACAGCUCGGACGCAAAUGCCGUUUUCACUGCAAUAAGAACCCCACCAGCGAAUGAUGGACGAUCCAUUCUAUAAGUUGUGAACUUGUG